CCUACGGGGGGCUGCAGUGGGGAAUAUUGGACAAUGGGGGAAACCCUGAUCCAGCAAUGCCGCGUGUGUGACGAAGGCCUGCGGGUUGUAAAGCACUUUCGGUUGGGAAGAAAAGUUUGGCGCCAAUACCGCCGAACCUUGACGUUACUGACAGAAGAAGCACCGGCUAACUCUGUGCCAGCAGCCGCGGUCAUACAGAGGGUGCAAGCGUUAAUCGGGAUCACGGGGCGUGUCACGUGAGUCGGUGGUCAAAUCCCCGGGCUUAACCUGGGAACUGCAUUCGAUACGACAUGGCUAGAGUAUGGUAGAGGGAAGUGGAAUUUCCGGUGUAGCGGUGAAAUGCGUAGAUAUCGGAAGGAACACCAAUGGCGAAGGCAGCUUCCUGGACUAAUACUGACACUGAGGCACGAAAGCGUGGGUAGCAAACAGGAUUAGAUACCCUAGUAGUC
This 449-nucleotide ribosomal RNA is filed under the name uncultured bacterium. Its description in RNAcentral is "partial 16S ribosomal RNA". It matches the Rfam family "Bacterial small subunit ribosomal RNA", at positions 338 to 795 of the family's 1533-position model. The record is from RNAcentral.